GAUGAACGCUGGCGGCGUGCCUAAUACAUGCAAGUCGAGCGAACAGACGAGGAGCUUGCUCCUCUGACGUUAGCGGCGGACGGGUGAGUAACACGUGGAUAACCUACCUAUAAGACUGGGAUAACUUCGGGAAACCGGAGCUAAUACCGGAUAAUAUAUUGAACCGCAUGGUUCAAUAGUGAAAGACGGUUUUGCUGUCACUUAUAGAUGGAUCCGCGCCGCAUUAGCUAGUUGGUAAGGUAACGGCUUACCAAGGCAACGAUGCGUAGCCGACCUGAGAGGGUGAUCGGCCACACUGGAACUGAGACACGGUCCAGACUCCUACGGGAGGCAGCAGUAGGGAAUCUUCCGCAAUGGGCGAAAGCUUGACGGAGCAACGCCGCGUGAGUGAUGAAGGUCUUCGGAUCGUAAAACUCUGUUAUUAGUGAAGAACAAAUGUGUAAGUAACUAUGCACGUCUUGACGGUACCUAAUCAGAAAGCCACGGCUAGCUACGUG
This 497-nucleotide ribosomal RNA is filed under the name uncultured bacterium. Its description in RNAcentral is "partial 16S ribosomal RNA". It matches the Rfam family "Bacterial small subunit ribosomal RNA", at positions 28 to 507 of the family's 1533-position model. The record is from RNAcentral.